This 252-nucleotide long non-coding RNA is filed under the name Salvia miltiorrhiza (redroot sage). Its description in RNAcentral is "long non-coding RNA (SMIL_LNC008245)". Lineage: Eukaryota; Viridiplantae; Streptophyta; Magnoliopsida; Lamiales; Lamiaceae. The record is from RNAcentral.
UCACAUACAGACAAUAUUAUGGAAACACAUUAGCAUAGAUUUUAGUAUUGUAUUCAACACUUUUGUAGUAGUUUACUUUAACUGUAAGUUAGUCAUUUAAGCAUCUAAUGCAUGUGUAUGAAAAUGUCAUUUAAGCAUCUAAUGCAUGUGUAUGAAAAUGUUAUAUAUGUAUGUUUAACAUGGUAUUGACUACAUAUCUAAGUAGUAUUUCAGGGUUCAUCAAUUCAAUGAUGGUAAGUCUUUAAUAAAAAA